UACAUGUAUCUAAGAGUAUAAUAUGACUUUGAUUAUGACACACUUUGAGUGAUGUUGCCAUAAUCGAAGUCGUAUUACACUCUUAGAUACAUCAA
This 95-nucleotide microRNA precursor is filed under the name Medicago truncatula (barrel medic). RNAcentral's name for it is "miR5555 stem-loop (mtr-MIR5555)". The record is from miRBase by way of RNAcentral. Lineage: Eukaryota; Viridiplantae; Streptophyta; Magnoliopsida; Fabales; Fabaceae.